UGGGGAAUAUUGCACAAUGGAGGGAACUCUGAUGCAGCGACGCCGCGUGAACGAAGAAGGCUUUCGAGUCGUAAAGUUCUUUUAUAUGGGAAGAUAAUGACGGUAACAUAAGAAAAAGCCCCGGCUAACUACUUGGCAGCAGCCGCCGUCAUACGUAGGGGGCUAGCGUUGUCCGGAAUAACUGGGCGUAAAGGGUUCGCAGGCGGAAAUGCAAGUCAGGUGUAAAAGGCAGUAGCUUAACUACUGUAAGCAUUUGAAACUGCAUAUCUUGAGAAGAGUAGAGGUAAGUGGAAUUCUUAGUGUAGCGGUGAAAUGCGUAGAUAUUAAAAAGAAUACCGGUGGCGAAGGCGACUUACUGGGCUAAUUCUGACGCUGAGGAACGAAAGCGUGGGUAGCAAACAGG
RNAcentral lists this ribosomal RNA (403 nucleotides) under bacterium. Its description in RNAcentral is "partial 16S ribosomal RNA". It matches the Rfam family "Bacterial small subunit ribosomal RNA", at positions 355 to 776 of the family's 1533-position model. The record is from RNAcentral.